GGUUCUUUAGCUCAGCUGGAAGAGCGUUAGACUGAAGAUCUAAAUGUCCCGUGUUCGAGCCACGGAAGAACCA
Molecule: non-coding RNA, 73 nt
Organism: Anaeramoeba flamelloides
Lineage: Eukaryota; Anaeramoebidae
Source: the annotation of a GenBank genome assembly